This 65-nucleotide transfer RNA is filed under the name Lexias dirtea. RNAcentral's name for it is "tRNA-His". Lineage: Eukaryota; Metazoa; Arthropoda; Insecta; Lepidoptera; Nymphalidae. The record is from RNAcentral.
ACUUAAAUAAUUUAAAAAAAAUAUUGAUUUGUGGAGUCAAAAAUAUGAAUAAAUCAUUUUAGGUU